UGGGGAAUAUUGCGCAAUGGGGGAAACCCUGACGCAGCGACGCCGCGUGAGCGAUGAAGGCUUUAGGGUCGUAAAGCUCUUUUGUAAGGGAAGAAUGUCGCGGGUGAUAAUACCGCCUGCGAAUGACGGUACCUUACGAAUAAGCCCCGGCUAACUACGUGCCAGCAGCCGCGGUAAGACGUAGGGGGCGAGCGUUGUCCGGAAUUACUGGGCGUAAAGAGCGCGUAGGCGGAUAUUUAAGUCAGGUGUGAAAGACCGCAGCUCAACUGCGGGGUUGCACCUGAAACUGGGUAUCUUGAGGGCAGGAGAGGACAGUGGAAUUCCAGGUGUAGCGGUGAAAUGCGUAGAAAUCUGGAGGAACACCAGUGGCGAAGGCGACUGUCUGGACUGACCCUGACGCUGAGGUGCGAAAGCGUGGGUAGCAAACAGG
This 430-nucleotide ribosomal RNA is filed under the name uncultured prokaryote. RNAcentral's name for it is "bacterial SSU rRNA". It matches the Rfam family "Bacterial small subunit ribosomal RNA", at positions 355 to 776 of the family's 1533-position model. The record is from RNAcentral. RNAcentral also lists the same sequence under 1 other name.